This 1406-nucleotide ribosomal RNA is filed under the name Pediococcus acidilactici. RNAcentral's name for it is "bacterial SSU rRNA". It matches the Rfam family "Bacterial small subunit ribosomal RNA", at positions 65 to 1433 of the family's 1533-position model. Lineage: Bacteria; Bacillati; Bacillota; Bacilli; Lactobacillales; Lactobacillaceae. The record is from RNAcentral.
ACUUCCGUUAUUGAUUAUGACGUGCUUGCACUGAAUGAGAUUUUAACACGAAGUGAGUGGCGGACGGGUGAGUAACACGUGGGUAACCUGCCCAGAAGCAGGGGAUAACACCUGGAAACAGAUGCUAAUACCGUAUAACAGAGAAAACCGCCUGGUUUUCUUUUAAAAGAUGGCUCUGCUAUCACUUCUGGAUGGACCCGCGGCGCAUUAGCUAGUUGGUGAGGUAACGGCUCACCAAGGCGAUGAUGCGUAGCCGACCUGAGAGGGUAAUCGGCCACAUUGGGACUGAGACACGGCCCAGACUCCUACGGGAGGCAGCAGUAGGGAAUCUUCCACAAUGGACGCAAGUCUGAUGGAGCAACGCCGCGUGAGUGAAGAAGGGUUUCGGCUCGUAAAGCUCUGUUGUUAAAGAAGAACGUGGGUGAGAGUAACUGUUCACCCAGUGACGGUAUUUAACCAGAAAGCCACGGCUAACUACGUGCCAGCAGCCGCGGUAAUACGUAGGUGGCAAGCGUUAUCCGGAUUUAUUGGGCGUAAAGCGAGCGCAGGCGGUCUUUUAAGUCUAAUGUGAAAGCCUUCGGCUCAACCGAAGAAGUGCAUUGGAAACUGGGAGACUUGAGUGCAGAAGAGGACAGUGGAACUCCAUGUGUAGCGGUGAAAUGCGUAGAUAUAUGGAAGAACACCAGUGGCGAAGGCGGCUGUCUGGUCUGUAACUGACGCUGAGGCUCGAAAGCAUGGGUAGCGAACAGGAUUAGAUACCCUGGUAGUCCAUGCCGUAAACGAUGAUUACUAAGUGUUGGAGGGUUUCCGCCCUUCAGUGCUGCAGCUAACGCAUUAAGUAAUCCGCCUGGGGAGUACGACCGCAAGGUUGAAACUCAAAAGAAUUGACGGGGGCCCGCACAAGCGGUGGAGCAUGUGGUUUAAUUCGAAGCUACGCGAAGAACCUUACCAGGUCUUGACAUCUUCUGCCAACCUAAGAGAUUAGGCGUUCCCUUCGGGGACAGAAUGACAGGUGGUGCAUGGUUGUCGUCAGCUCGUGUCGUGAGAUGUUGGGUUAAGUCCCGCAACGAGCGCAACCCUUAUUACUAGUUGCCAGCAUUCAGUUGGGCACUCUAGUGAGACUGCCGGUGACAAACCGGAGGAAGGUGGGGACGACGUCAAAUCAUCAUGCCCCUUAUGACCUGGGCUACACACGUGCUACAAUGGAUGGUACAACGAGUCGCGAAACCGCGAGGUUUAGCUAAUCUCUUAAAACCAUUCUCAGUUCGGACUGUAGGCUGCAACUCGCCUACACGAAGUCGGAAUCGCUAGUAAUCGCGGAUCAGCAUGCCGCGGUGAAUACGUUCCCGGGCCUUGUACACACCGCCCGUCACACCAUGAGAGUUUGUAACACCCAAAGCCGGUGG